RNAcentral lists this ribosomal RNA (253 nucleotides) under uncultured bacterium. Its description in RNAcentral is "partial 16S ribosomal RNA". It matches the Rfam family "Bacterial small subunit ribosomal RNA", at positions 524 to 776 of the family's 1533-position model. The record is from RNAcentral.
UACAUGUGGGGCAAGCGUUGUUCGGAAUUACUGGGCAUAAAGGGGGCGUAGGCUGCGCGGAAAGUUGGGUGUGAAAUCCCUCGGCUCAACCGAGGAACUGCGCCCAAAACUGCCGUGCUCGAGGGAGACAGAGGUGAGCGGAACUUAGGGUGGAGCGGUGAAAUGCGUUGAUAUCCUAAGGAACACCGGUGGCGAAAGCGGCUCACUGGGUCUCUUCUGACGCUGAGGCACGAAAGCUAGGGUAGCGAACGGG